This 1195-nucleotide small RNA is filed under the name Theobroma cacao (cacao). Its description in RNAcentral is "sRNA Tc10v2_g006700". The record is from RNAcentral. Lineage: Eukaryota; Viridiplantae; Streptophyta; Magnoliopsida; Malvales; Malvaceae.
UGGAUAGCUUCUUAAUUCACUCUGGUAUUUUAUCCUUAUUUUGCCAAAUCUUACGGGUUUUGUAUUAGCAACUGUGGUCAACAAGCAUGGUUGUACAUGGAGAAGAAGUGCAAUAGGCCUCCAUUCACUGAAGUGAGAAAGGCAAAGAAUAUUGGCAUCAAGUACUUGCGAAACAAGCUUUAGUUAUCAAAAUGGAGAAAAUAGUGAGAGUGGCAAACUUCACCCAGUUCUCUGGAAAAUUUAGAGCCUUGUGAUCAGAUGACUAGAGUUGGACAGUGACUAUGAAUUGCUUAGCUCUCCUUAAUAUCAUGGCAUCAAGAGGGAGAGUGGCAAGAUUUCACCCAAUUCUCUGUAAAAUUUACAACCUUGUGAGCAAAUGACUAAAGUUGGCCAGGUCAUUGUUCCUUGUCUUCAUAAGUUUUCAUUGAGAGCUUUUCAAGUUAUUGAGAUGUACUAUCAAAGUUUGAAGAAUGUCCAGUAUCUCAGAAACAUGAUGAAGGCAGGAUAUCAUAUCCAGUAUAUUCUUCUCUUGGUCUUCCACUAAUGGACCUACAAAGCUAUAUACAAGAAAUCAAAUGCAGAUAUAGGCACCAAUUACAUGAAAUUUCAAGUGGUCUACUACUGGCUACAGCUGGAGGUUGAAUGUCUUUGCAGCAAGUUCAGUAUGUUUCAUUUCAAAUUUGGGCUUUGUCAAAGCAAUAUAGAGGAUGAUCGUACAUUAUUGGUAGACUUCAACUUGGUGGACAAUAAGGAAAUCGACUCCACGUCAAUAACAACUACAGCAUCCGGUCCAUGCCAGGCAGGCAUUUUGAAACGCAAGUAGCGCUCUACACAUUCAACAGGAAGGAGGGAUCGGAAAGUAAAGAAGAAGGCCUUUCAAAACACAUUCUGUAUGCAUGUAUGGGCAAAAUCCUGUUCUUAUACAUGAUAAGGUCUGGUGGUCAGUAAUGCUUGUUUGAAGUCAGAUGUGAAUUGCAAUCUGGAUUCCUUCUAUAUGUUUCCCAUUUUUAACCCAUGAUGCGUUUUACUCAUACAAUUUUAUUUUUCUUUCCCUGUUCAAUUGUUAAUUGCAUGUACAGUUUUGGCAACAUCAUGGCCCAAAUGACUCUACAUAGUUGGAGCUUUGAAGACAUUAUCUUGUAUUAUCAUUGCUUAUCAUCCAUUCAAAUGCAGUUUUUUCUAUUAUCUUUAUUUA